GAUGAACGCUGGCGGCGUGCCUAAUACAUGCAAGUCGAGCGAACAGACGAGGAGCUUGCUCCUCUGACGUUAGCGGCGGACGGGUGAGUAACACGUGGAUAACCUACCUAUAAGACUGGGAUAACUUCGGGAAACCGGAGCUAAUACCGGAUAAUAUAUUGAACCGCAUGGUUCAAUAGUGAAAGACGGUUUUGCUGUCACUUAUAGAUGGAUCCGCGCCGCAUUAGCUAGUUGGGAAGGUAACGGCUUACCAAGGCAACGAGGCGUAGCCGACCGGAGAGGGUGACAGGCCACACGGGAAGUGAGACACGGUCCAGGCGCCUGCGGGAGGCAGCAGUAGGGAAUCGUCCGCAAUGGGCGAAAGCCUGACGGAGCAACGCGGCGUGAGUGAUGAAGGUCUUCGGAUCGUAAAACUCUGUUAUUAGGGAAGAACAAAUGUGUAAGUAACUAUGCACGUCUUGACGGUACCUAAUCAGAAAGCCACGGCUAACUACGUG
This 497-nucleotide ribosomal RNA is filed under the name uncultured bacterium. Its description in RNAcentral is "partial 16S ribosomal RNA". It matches the Rfam family "Bacterial small subunit ribosomal RNA", at positions 28 to 507 of the family's 1533-position model. The record is from RNAcentral.